CCCAGACAGCCAGGAUGUUGGCUUAGAAGCAGCCAUCAUUUAAAGAAAGCGUAAUAGCUCACUGGUCGAGUCGGCCUGCGCGGAAGAUGUAACGGGGCUAAACCAUGCACCGAAGCUGCGGCAGCGAACGUAUCACCCAAGACAACUUUACGGAGUUGACGAUUGACGGAGCGAAGCGACGUCAAAGCGUUCAUUAAAGUCGAGUUGGCUUAGGGAUACGUUCGUUGGGUAGGGGAGCGUUCUGUAAGCCUGCGAAGGUGGCCUGUGAGGGUUGCUGGAGGUAUCAGAAGUGCGAAUGCUGACAUAAGUAACGAUAAAGCGGGUGAAAAGCCCGCUCGCCGGAAGACCAAGGGUUCCUGUCCAACGUUAAUCGGGGCAGG
This 380-nucleotide ribosomal RNA is filed under the name Salmonella enterica subsp. enterica serovar Tennessee. Its description in RNAcentral is "bacterial LSU rRNA". It matches the Rfam family "Bacterial large subunit ribosomal RNA", at positions 1084 to 1378 of the family's 2925-position model. RNAcentral also lists the same sequence under 1 other name. The record is from RNAcentral. Lineage: Bacteria; Pseudomonadati; Pseudomonadota; Gammaproteobacteria; Enterobacterales; Enterobacteriaceae.